GAUCCAGCAAUACCGUUUGUGUGAAGAAGGCCUGAGGGUUGUAAAGCACUUUUAAUCGGGAGGAACAUCUGAUGGCGAAUACCCAUCAGUCUGACAUUACCGAUAGAAAAAGCACAGGCUAACUCCGUGCCAGCAGCCGCGGUAAUACGGAGGGUGCAAGCGUUAAUCGGAAUUACUGGGCGUAAAGCGUGCGUAGGCGGCUGCUUAAGUCAGAUGUGAAAGCCCCGGGCUUAACCUGGGAACGGCAUUUGAUACUGGGCAGCUCGAGUUGAGUAGAGGAGAGGGGAAUUUCCGGUGUAGCGGUGAAAUGCGUAGAGAUCGGAAGGAACACCAGUGGCGAAGGCGCCUCUCUGGACUCAAACUGACGCUGAGGUACGAAAGCGUGGGUAGCAAACAGGAUUAGAUCCCUGGUAGUCACGCCUAAACGAUGUCAACUACCGUGGUCUCAUUCGUAAGAUCUGGCCAGUUACGCAUAGUGACCGCUGGGAGACGCGAGGU
Molecule: ribosomal RNA, 498 nt
Filed under: uncultured type I methanotroph R4
Lineage: Bacteria; Pseudomonadati; Pseudomonadota; Gammaproteobacteria; Methylococcales; Methylococcaceae
Description: bacterial SSU rRNA
Rfam family: Bacterial small subunit ribosomal RNA
Source: RNAcentral